CUGAGAUAGGGUUCGCUCGAGCCCGACCUCCAACCCUUUGCUUAAACUACCUUGUUGCUUUGGCAGGCCCGUCUUCGGACCGCUGGGGACGUUCAGUCGUCUCUGGCCAGUGCCGGCCAGUAGCCAAUUCAAACUCUCUUUUAACCAUGUUGUCUGAAAUUCAUAACAAAUUUAAUUA
This 178-nucleotide unclassified non-coding RNA is filed under the name uncultured Herpotrichiellaceae. RNAcentral describes it as "sequence contains ITS1". The record is from RNAcentral. Lineage: Eukaryota; Fungi; Ascomycota; Eurotiomycetes; Chaetothyriales; Herpotrichiellaceae.